This 509-nucleotide ribosomal RNA is filed under the name uncultured bacterium. RNAcentral describes it as "bacterial SSU rRNA". It matches the Rfam family "Bacterial small subunit ribosomal RNA", at positions 9 to 513 of the family's 1533-position model. The record is from RNAcentral.
GAGUUUGAUCCUGGCUCAGAUUGAACGCUGGCGGCAGGCCUAACACAUGCAAGUCGAGCGGUAGAGAGAAGCUUGCUUCUCUUGAGAGCGGCGGACGGGUGAGUAAUGCCUAGGAAUCUGCCUGGUAGUGGGGGAUAACGCUCGGAAACGGACGCUAAUACCGCAUACGUCCUACGGGAGAAAGCAGGGGACCUUCGGGCCUUGCGCUAUCAGAUGAGCCUAGGUCGGAUUAGCUAGUUGGUGAGGUAAUGGCUCACCAAGGCGACGAUCCGUAACUGGUCUGAGAGGAUGAUCAGUCACACUGGAACUGAGACACGGUCCAGACUCCUACGGGAGGCAGCAGUGGGGAAUAUUGGACAAUGGGCGAAAGCCUGAUCCAGCCAUGCCGCGUGUGUGAAGAAGGUCUUCGGAUUGUAAAGCACUUUAAGUUGGGAGGAAGGGCAGUAAAUUAAUACUUUGCUGUUUUGACGUUACCGACAGAAUAAGCACCGGCUAACUCUGUGCCAGCA